CUGUACGUUACGCGAGAAGAGUGCGAAUCGAAUCACUCGGUGUACGGGCUCCAAGGACAGAAGACCGUUCGUUUGUUUGUGCAACAAAUAAUAAAAAUGAGAGAUAAACUGCUUCUCGUAGCGUUAGUACUUCCAUUAUGUUUGAGUUUGGCAAACGCCGCUAGCAAUGACGAACACGAGGACGACCCGAAGCACGAACAAUCAUGGGUUUCAACAAUAAAAAGGGUGACAAAAAUGAUUCAGGAAAUAACCCCAAACCCAGCAGUUUUGACAGGAAUAAAGCGAGUAACCAUAAGCUUAUUUAAUAACGUUUGUCAGAUAACCGUAGAAUAUUAAUUAUUUUGUUUAAUGAUCUACCUUGUCACUUACAUUUAUGAAAAACUGACCCAACCUCAGUCAUAUAUGAAGUUGAAGUUGAACAGUGACAAACAUUUCCCACGUAUUCUUUGUUAGAUACCGAUGCACUUCAACAAAAAAAAUCUGAUUCUUAUCAUAUCAGCCAAUCCACAAUUUCGUCAGAUUCACAGAAAAUGUUUUUUUUUUUACCGUGGUAAAAUCGAAACAGCACUCAGUUCUAUAGCAUUAUGGUGCUUCUAAUCUUGAUUUUUUAAAUGAAAUUUCACUUAUGACACAUUCGAUCAUAAGCAUAGUACAGUCCCUCUACAAUUAUGGGUCAGUCAACGUGUUGCCUGAAUGUUCAAAAAUUAAUAUAAAAUCGGAAAAAUAUGAAUGUUUCACUAUCUAUUUCUGUGUUCUGAUGUAUACUUUCGAUCGACAAAAAAUUUCACUGCAGCUAAUGUGUGCAAAUCGAUUAAGAGGAAAAAUAUUACUUGUAUAGCAAAAGACACAAUUAUGGGUCGCUUUUGGCAUUCAAAAUCAAUUAGUUUAUAAAACCCUCAAAACCUAUCACAAAAGUUUUUGUAUCGUUUUAUAACCUUGAUAAUAAGUUGUUUUAUUAAGCCGUGAUGUAUUUUCAUGCAAAAGUAAUAAAAUUAGCCGAAAUAUGAACUGACCCACAAUUGUGCACCGCAAAAUGUAAUAUUUCUACAAUUAUGGGUCACUUCACUCAUUGCACCGAGCAGAAUUAUAGUUUUAGUGACAUCUAACACUAAAUCAUUUCAAUAGUAUGAAAAGGGUUACAAUUGAGUUAUAAGAAAAACUACUGAUAAUGAAAAUUGUUCAGUUUCUUGAGAAUAGACGUAUUUCCGUAAAAGUGACCCAUAAUUGUAGCUGACCCAUAAUCGUGGAGGCACUGUACCUCAAGAUCAGCUCAUCGCAGGCAAAUCGAAAAAUUUCAAACGCUUGUUUCUGCUUAUACACGUCUCUAACGAUAAAUCGACCGUUGCAUUGUUUUUCGCUAACAAAAACCAUAAUUCCUAAUUUGGUGGUAUGAUAUUUUAUGCCGAUAAUGAAAAAUAAAACUCCGAAAAAAUAAA
This is a long non-coding RNA of Wyeomyia smithii (pitcher-plant mosquito), 1436 nucleotides long. RefSeq lists it as uncharacterized. Lineage: Eukaryota; Metazoa; Arthropoda; Insecta; Diptera; Culicidae. The record is from RefSeq and is a predicted model, not a curated record. The transcript has 2 exons.